Osmerus eperlanus (European smelt) is the source of this 1186-nucleotide long non-coding RNA. RefSeq lists it as uncharacterized. The transcript has 3 exons. The record is from RefSeq and is a predicted model, not a curated record. NCBI's taxonomy places the organism in Eukaryota, Metazoa, Chordata, Actinopteri, Osmeriformes, Osmeridae.
GGUUUACAGCAGAGGUCAUUGCAGGCAUAGGCUUCAUACCAGAGGGGCCUGUGAGGGAGAUCAUUAAAAAAAUGACCACCCUUUAUCAAUACUAUCUUAAAUACCACAAUAGCCUUCUUGCCACAGCUGGUGAAGAAACACCAGAAGCAACAUCCCCUGCCUCCACUCAGGAUCAAACCUUCACCCUUAACCUUGUCCCGGUCCCCCACCGACCUCCUAUGACUCCCUCUCUCUCUUCAUCUACUCUUCCUACUCCCUCUCUCUCUUCAUCUACUCUUCCUACUCACUCUCUCUCUUCACCUCCUCUUUCCCCCAACUCUCUCUCCUCAACUCCUAUGACUCCCUCUCUCUCUUCACCUCCUCUUCUCUCAAACUCUCUCUCUUCAUCUACUCUUCCUACUCCCUCUCUCUCUUCACAUCCUAUGACUCCCUCUCGCUCUUCACCUCCUCUUCCCUCCCACUCUUUCUUUUCUCCUGCUCUUCCCUCCCAUUCUUUCUCCGCACCUCCUUUCCCCAGUCCCUUGCUCUCUUUACCUCCUUCACCAACCCUCUCUCUAUGUUACCCACUUUCUACUCCUUCUCUCAUCUCUUCUCCUCAAAAAGGUCUUCCCAAAAUUCAGUACCCGGGAAAAAGAAAAAAUAAUUUAACGUAAAGGUUGUCUUAUGUAAGGGUCAUAGGCUUAUGCAUCAUGAACAAUCUUUUGUUGUAAUGACCCCAAAAAAUCAGGCAAAUCAUCUUAUUUGUUAUUCCUCUGUUUAUAUAUUUUCAGGCAAUUUCCUGUUUGAAAAGAGGGACGUUCAAAGCAGUGUAAAAGAAUGGGAGGAUACCUGGAAGCCUGCUGUUAAUAUGUCUGUGCCUAGCUGCCUGGUUAUUGUUUUAAGAGUUCCCAGUUCUGUAUUUGUUAUUGAUAUACACUGUAACAUUUUAUGAGCUUGUUGUGAUACUGUUACGGCCACUGUCUUUUUUUCUGUUCAUAUUUUGUUUGUUAUCAACUUCCUGGGUUCUGGGCAUCGAUUGUGGUUCAACUUGGCUGCCUCCAUAACACUUAACUUAUAACAUGGGUGAGUUGGUGACCGAGCUAACGUCUUCGGGUUUUUGUUUUAGAUUCACUGUUAGGUAAGGGAGCGCGCUGGCUCCGCCUUCCCAUUGCGGGGAGGGCCAGCGGCUAUCAGGUUUUGGUUUUAU